GUUGACCUCGGAUCAGGUAGGGAUACCCGCUGAACUUAAGCAUAUCAAUAAGCGGAGGAAAAGAAACCAACCGGGAUUGCCUCAGUAACGGCGAGUGAAGCGGCAAGAGCUCAAAUUUGAAAGCUGGCUCCUUCGGGGUCCGCAUUGUAAUUUGCAGAGGAUGCUUCGGGUGCGGCCCCUGUCUAAGUGCCCUGGAACGGGCCGUCAGAGAGGGUGAGAAUCCCGUCUGGGAUGGGGUGUCCGCGCCCGUGUGAAGCUCCUUCGACGAGUCGAGUUGUUUGGGAAUGCAGCUCUAAAUGGGUGGUAAAUUUCAUCUAAAGCUAAAUACUGGCCGGAGACCGAUAGCGCACAAGUAGAGUGAUCGAAAGAUGAAAAGCACUUUGAAAAGAGAGUUAAAAAGCACGUGAAAUUGUUGAAAGGGAAACGCUUGCGACCAGACUCGCCUCCNGGGUUCAGCCGGCAUUCCGGGCCGGUGUACUUCCCU
This 484-nucleotide ribosomal RNA is filed under the name Aspergillus sp. RNAcentral describes it as "partial 28S ribosomal RNA". It matches the Rfam family "Eukaryotic large subunit ribosomal RNA", at positions 1 to 479 of the family's 3401-position model. Lineage: Eukaryota; Fungi; Ascomycota; Eurotiomycetes; Eurotiales; Aspergillaceae. The record is from RNAcentral.